This 390-nucleotide unclassified non-coding RNA is filed under the name soil metagenome. RNAcentral describes it as "partial contains 5.8S ribosomal RNA, internal transcribed spacer 2, and large subunit ribosomal RNA". The stretch from base 1 to 122 matches the Rfam family "5.8S ribosomal RNA", at positions 35 to 154 of the family's 154-position model. The record is from RNAcentral.
GAUGAAGAACGCAGCGAAAUGCGAUACUUGGUGUGAAUUGCAGAAUCCCGUGAACCAUCGAGUCUUUGAACGCAAGUUGCGCCCGAAGCCACUAGGCCGAGGGCACGCCUGCCUGGGCGUCACACGCCGUUGCCCCCCCAUCUACUCCUUCGGGAUUGCGGGGGGGCGGAUGAUGGCCUCCUGUGCGCCUAGCCGCGCGGUUGGCAUAAAUACCAAGUCCUCGGCGACGCACGCCACGACAAUCGGUGGUUGCGAAACCUCGGUUGCCCGUCGUGUGCGUUCGUCGCGCAUCGAGGGCUCGAAAAAAUGCUCGGCUCCGGCUGGGCUUUCAACGCGACCCCAGGUCAGGCGGGGUUACCCGCUGAAUUUAAGCAUAUCAAUAAGCGAGGA